GGACGUAGCUCAGUGGUAGAGCUGUUGCCUUGCAUGCAGAAGGUCCCAUGUUCAAUCCCCGUGAUCUCCA
Non-coding RNA from Podarcis lilfordi (Lilford's wall lizard), 70 nucleotides. Lineage: Eukaryota; Metazoa; Chordata; Lepidosauria; Squamata; Lacertidae. The record is from the annotation of a GenBank genome assembly.